This 4150-nucleotide unclassified non-coding RNA is filed under the name Leishmania donovani. RNAcentral's name for it is "gene:LdHU3.15.1640(CDS-product:MGT1_magnesium_tra nsporter)". Lineage: Eukaryota; Euglenozoa; Kinetoplastea; Trypanosomatida; Trypanosomatidae. The record is from RNAcentral.
AAUUCGCCGCAAGCACACCCCACACACAUAUAAUACGCCAAUCUCAAGCGGCGCACCACUUUGCAGAAGGCCCGGUGCCGACGGUCUUCUUCUCGGCCUCACCUCUAUUUACUACUCGCCGACGCUGGCCGGAGGCCUGCGCGUCCUUCAUAAUCAGGGAAAGCCUGAGGGGCUUCGCCGCGCGGCGUGCGUGCACACCACACUGCUGUGGCUGCUCUUACAAGAAGAGAGAGAGGGUCCUUGUGUGAAUCAGCGCACCCGGCGCACGGCCUCAUGUCAUCUAACGCCUCAACGGAGACUCCGGCGUCGUUACGGGCAGAGGAGGUUACCAUGACGUCGCCGGAUCGGCUGACGAACCUUGGCACCUCCACCUUCCUCACCCCGCCCUCCGUCGAGCACCCUAGCGCGGCGAGCGAGCUGGGGUCCAGCCAUGCGCCACUACCGCCACGUGUGCAGAACCUCGCUAACGUCGUGGUGCCGCUCGCCUCCGCGGAGGCUCGCGUGAGCAAUGCGCAUUCCUACGCGCGGCGGCCACUCGAGAUUGUGGAGUCGAUCAGGGGUUUGCACGAACUGCAUCAGAAGGGCGGGCUCACCAGGGAGGAGUUCGCUCAAGCGAAGCAGCAGAUCCUGGACUCGGCCGCGUCCUCGGCGUCCACGUACAAGAGCAAGUCAAAGCGGUCACGCGGGCGCCGCCACCGUCGCCGUGGUCGCCGUUCGCGCAACAGCUCGCGCUCGGCCUCUACGUCGACUUGCACGCGGCCGUCCCGCGAUGCCCGCUCGCGCGCCACCACUGGUGUUGACCCCAGGAGUGCCAGCCACCGCCCCAGCCGUUCCUCGUCAUCGUCGAAGUCAUCGUCGUCGUCGUCGUCGUCGUCGAGCAAUCGCUUCAUCAUUGUGCCGCGCUCCAACGUGUGGCGCACCCUCAACGACCCGAUCGAGGAGGGCUUGCUCGGCCACCACUUGACAGAGGGCCACCAUUUGCGCGUCGCAUACAACGAUGCACCGCGGCUCGUGCGCUCCCCGCUGCUGAGCAGGGGGGGCGCUGUCGUAGGAUUUGGCAGCCGUGAGAGAGGGGGGCAAGAGGAGUGCUGCGCCGGCGCGCACGGGCGGCACGGCUACCAGGAGAUUCCUUCUGAAGACCCUCUCACAAGCAACUUGGCGAGUAGCGCAGCGGUGCCGACGCCAACGCUAGCCACUGCAGCAGACACCAAAGACGGCCCCUUCGCGUCCCCCAGCGGCAGCGCUAUCGGCGCCGCGACCGCAGCGACGGGCAGCAGCGUCGCCCGCUACGCCACCUCCGCCACCGUUCCCGACGGCCGCGGCAAGGCCAAGUAUGGUGCCUUCUUGCACCGGGACGAUGGAGCUCGCGCCGGCGGUCCGGCACCGCACAUUCAUGCGGUACUCAACAAGGAGGAUGUUGUGUGUAUCCAAUACUUCAACAGCCGCGGCGGCUCUGGCAAUCACUUCCGCGACGUCGAGCUGCACACCUCCCAACUCCGUGACCCGAUCUUCGUUCACAAGGGACAGUCGCAGGUCAUUCCAGCCAAGCCGCGUACCUCAGUGACCAAGCCUGGCCACGACGAGCCGGUCAUGAUGGCGAUGCCGACCCGAGACUCGCAGGUCUUCCAGCUGGCGGAGAUGACGCUGGAGGAGCGCCGCGCCUGGGAGGAGAUGACGACGACGCACUCCUCCUCCUCCAAGUCCCGCAGAGCCAAGUCUUCGUACUUUGAGCAGAGCUUCAACUGGUAUUGGGUGGACGUGACGGGCAGAGACGCCAGCCGGCAACAGUACAACGCGACACUACGCUACCUAACCAACCGCUUCAAGUUGUGCGAGUCGUUCCUCGUCGACCGCGAUCACACGCUGGUGCUGCCGCAGGUUUGCGAGUCGCCCAUCUACGCUGGCCAGUACCUGCUCAACCUGCGUGUGGCGACCGAAAAGAUCGCCAUCUCCGACGACAGCGUGAUGGAGCUGACGAAUCGGUGGAUUAUCGUUGUGGACCUGAAGCAGCACAUCGUCAUUACCCUGCACCGCGUCGACACGCACAGCAUGGCGAACCUGCGCUCACAGUGGAAGAGGGUCAUCGAGAACAGCAACGUAUCCUUCCAGGAGUUCCUACUCAAGAUCAUCGACGACGCCAUCUACACGUAUCACCUCAGCCUCGACGUGCACACGGCGCUCCUUGAAAAGUGCGAAGCGAAGCUGUUCGUGGAGAAGCCGGCCGUGACGACGCCGGAGGUGUCCGGCCACUACAUCGAUAAGCGGAUUCUGCACCACUUCGCCGGCAGCUCGCGGUCGCCGUUUCUGCGCCGGCUGCUGGACGAGCAGGACCGCUCGCCGAUGAACAAGGGGGAGAUGAACAGCUUCCUGCACCACCUGCACCGUCGCACGAGCGUGCAGCACCGGAUGAUCAACGUCACCCAGGCAGUUCUGGCCAAGGCGUUCACGAAGCUGCGGCUGUGCUCGCGUGAGAUGGCGGGGCAGAUGUGUGCGUCCUGCAUUGAGAUCAGCGACCGCGCUCUGGAGGUGCGGGAUGACGCCAAGACUCUGCUGAACCUGCACAUCUCCCUGCAGAGCUUCCGCACCACUGAGCUGAUGGCCGUGCUGACGCGCGUGACGAUGCUCUUUACACCGGUGACGUUCCUGGCUGGCGUGUAUGGCAUGAACUUCCAGAAGAACUUUCCGGAGCUGACGUGGGACUACGGCUACGCCUUCUUUUGGACCCUGUGCAUCAUCUUGGUCAUCGCCAUGCAUGUCCUCUUUGUGCGCGAGCACUGAGGCGCCGGCGCGUUUUCUAGGCGUGCGGGAGGGGAGGGGCGGACCCGUUCAACGGAUGAACUGCAGCCCCAGCCACCACCACCCCUCUAACUCUGCUUUUCUUUGGUGUCCUCUGCGGACAGCCAUCGCGCCUCUGUGGAUGUAUGCGCGCGCGCGUGGAUGGGAUUGCACUUGGCUGUCUGCGUGCGUGUGUGCGCCUCUCUAUAUCGAUUUCUUGCCGCUUGGCUCAAUGGUGCGCCGCGUCUAACGGGGUGUCGGUGUAUGCUUUGGUGCUGGUAAAAGGGUGGUGUGGUGACGUGGGGAGGAUCACAGGAAGAAUGACGCCGGAGAUUGCUCAACCCGAGCGCCAUGACCCUCCACGCCCGCAGCUGCUGUUGGUGCUGCCAGUGUGUCCUGGCGCCGUUCUUGUCCCCAUCGAUUUAUCGGUCUCACGGUGCAUUCCGCCUUAAUCACCCUCCCCACCCGUCGACCCUCGCUGCGUCUCUGUGGCGCGCUCCCCCUCCGUCUCGCCCCCUCCCCCUCUCCCGUUUUUUCCUCGUAGGUGUGUGCGGCUGUGCUCCUGGUGAAACGGGGUGGGGUGGGGGCACCCGGCAGCGCGUGGCGCUCCCGGGGGGGGGGUCAUCCGUGCACCCCAACUCUGUCUCUGGGGAGGAAGCCCAGCAGCGCCCCCUCCUCUCCCUCCUAUAUCCCUGCCAGUGCGGGACCGCUUCUCCUGGUGACAGGGUCAAGCACCUACAACGUAGGGAGGUCAGAGUAAGAUGGCGCUGCGGAUGGCGGCCGUCAGGUGCCGGAUGGCGUUGCACCGGAGCAACCUGCGACAGCGCACACACACGAUUCAUGUGAUGGGCAGAGAGUGUCGGCGUGACUCGAACGCAUCCCACCCCCGGCUCUCACACCGUCCUGCUACUGUUGGGGAGCCUGUGCCAUCGCGAUGGGAUCGCACCGUGUGGCGACCGGCACAACGUGAGCGGCUGCGGGGCGACCUGUGAGGGCGGGUGGGUGGCGGCUAGAGUUUGAGGCGGAGGCCGAGCCCUCAGAUGACCGAGUUGGUGCACUGCUGUCACGUGUGUCUCUGCAGCUGCUUCGCACCAGGCGAUAGGGGCCUGUGACAGGGCCCGGUGCAAGAGUGGGGUUCGACCUCAUGUUGCAUGGCAGAGAAAUAGACAUGCUGCAGCGCAGAGCGCAAGCGUGUCUCGGCCGCUAACCUCUGGUGGCCCCCCUUCUCUCUCAUCGUUGUUGAGUUUGUGUGUGUGUGUGUGUGUGUGUGUGUGCAUCCAGCCAACCGCAUCCGACUGCAUCGCUUAAAGUGUCGGCAAUGAAAGUCGCCCAAACCGUCACGCACGCGCCGUUCGCCUCUGCGGGUCCCCAUGCC